RNAcentral lists this ribosomal RNA (266 nucleotides) under uncultured bacterium. Its description in RNAcentral is "partial 16S ribosomal RNA". It matches the Rfam family "Bacterial small subunit ribosomal RNA", at positions 71 to 334 of the family's 1533-position model. The record is from RNAcentral.
UUUUUGCUUGCAAACUAAAAGAUGGCGACCGGCGCACGGGUGAGUAACACGUAUCCAACCUGCCGAUAACUCGGGGAUAGCCUUUCGAAAGAAAGAUUAAUAUCCGAUGGUAUAUUAAAACCGCAUGGUUUUACUAUUAAAGAAUUUCGGUUAUCGAUGGGGAUGCGUUCCAUUAGUUUGUUGGGGGGGUAACGGCCCACCAAGACUACGAUGGAUAGGGGUUCUGAGAGGAAGGUCCCCCACAUUGGAACUGAGACACGGUCCAA